GACAGAGUUUGAUCAUGGCUCAGAACGAACGCUGGCGGCAGGCUUAACACAUGCAAGUCGAACGGAUGUAGCAAUACAUCAGUGGCGCACGGGUGAGUAACACGUGGAUAUCUGCCUUUUGGUUCGGAAUAACCCUGGGAAACUAGGGCUAAUACCGGAUGGUUCCUACGGGAUAAAGAUUUAUCGCCAAAAGAUGAGUCCGCGUCCGAUUAGCUAGUUGGUGAGGUAAUGGCUCACCAAGGCGACGAUCAGUAGCUGGUCUGAGAGGAUGAUCAGCCUCAUUGGGACUGAGACACGGCCCAAACUCCUACGGGAGGCAGCAGUGGGGAAUAUUGGACAAUGGGCGCAGGCCUGAUCCAGCCAUGCCGCGUGAGUGAUGAAGGCCUUAGGGUUGUAAAGCUCUUUUGCCCGGGAAGAUAAUGACGGUACCGGGAGAAUAAGCCCCGGCUAACUUCGUGCCAGCAGCCGCGGUAAACCUAAAUAGC
RNAcentral lists this ribosomal RNA (485 nucleotides) under uncultured bacterium. RNAcentral describes it as "bacterial SSU rRNA". It matches the Rfam family "Bacterial small subunit ribosomal RNA", at positions 1 to 534 of the family's 1533-position model. The record is from RNAcentral.